RNAcentral lists this ribosomal RNA (1651 nucleotides) under Pronothobranchius seymouri. RNAcentral's name for it is "16S ribosomal RNA". It matches the Rfam family "Bacterial large subunit ribosomal RNA". The record is from RNAcentral. Lineage: Eukaryota; Metazoa; Chordata; Actinopteri; Cyprinodontiformes; Nothobranchiidae.
ACUUAAAAGCUAGCUAAUGACCAUAUUUAAAGUAUUAACAUUCAUACAUAUUAAUUUAACAAAAGUAAAUAAUAAACCAUUCUCCACAUCUAGUAUAGGCGAUAGAAAGAAAACAAUAAGCAAUAAACCAAGUACCGCAAGGGAACGCUGAAAGAGCAAUGAAAGAAUUCAGUAAAGUAUAACGAAGCAGAGAUAAAUCCUCGUACCUUUUGCAUCAUGUUUUAACAAGAAUAAAUUAAGCAAAAUGCCUUCUAGUUUAAACCCCCGAAACUAAGUGAGCUACUUCAAGACAGCCUGGGAACAGGGCAAACACAUCUCUGUGGCAAAAGAGCGUGAAGAUCUUCAAGUAGAGGUGACAAACCUAACGAACUGAGUUAUAGCUGGUUGUCUGACAAAUAGAUAAAAGUUUAGCCUUUUGUUUUCUAAAUUUAAAUAUGUCACAACCACAGAAUACAAAAGAGUUAUUCAUAAGGGGUACAGCCCUUAUGAAAAAGGAUACAGCCUUACCAGGUGAUUAACGAACAUGUUAAACAAAGUUAGUGUUUUAGUGGGCCUAAAAGCAGCCAUCUAAAAAGAAAGCGUCAAAGCUCAAAUACUUAAAGCACUUUUAAUAAUGAUCUUAAAUCAAACCUCCCUUUAUUCAUCAGACCUCUCCAUCAGCCAUGGAGGAGAUCAUGCUAAUAUGAGUAAUAAGAAAGUUUUCUCCUAGCACCCCUGUAACUAAGAACGGAACUCCCACUUAAGAUUACCGGUCCCAAAUGAAGAGGGUCAAAAAUUACAAAAAGAUAACAAGUAGUUUAUUUUAAUAUUACCGUUAACCCUACACUGGCGUGCAUCAAAGGAAAGAUGAAAAGAAUAAGAAGGAACUCGGCAAAUAUAUCAAAGCCCCGCCUGUUUACCAAAAACAUCGCUUCUUGACCUACAAAAAUAAGAAGUCUCGCCUGCCCUGUGAAUAUAUUUAACGGCCGCGGUAUUCUGACCGUGCAAAGGUAGCGCAAUCACUUGUCUUUUAAAUAAAGACCUGUAUGAAUGGCAUAACGAGGGCUUAACUGUCUCCUUUUUCCCAUCAAUGAAAUUGAUCAUCUCGUGCAGAAGCGAGAAUGCAACCAUAAGACGAGAAGACCCUAUGGAUCUUUAGCCGCAAGAGUAGAACACCCUCAAACUACUUAAACAACAAGUAGGACCCGUUGUAACCUGCUCAAGUGGCUUUGGUUGGGGCGACCACGGAGUAUAGAUUAACCUCCACAAGGAAUAAGGAAACCUCUUUAAUCCAAGGGCGACAGCCCUAGGAAAUAGAAUUUCUAACCCCCCGAUCCGGCAAGGCCGAUUAAUGGACUGAGUUACCCUAGGGAUAACAGCGCAAUCCUCUUUUAGAGCCCAUAUCGACAAGGGGGUUUACGACCUCGAUGUUGGAUCAGGACAUCCUAGUAGUGCAAAAGCUAUUAAGGGUUCGUUUGUUCAACGAUUAAAGUCCUACGUGAUCUGAGUUCAGACCGGAGUAAUCCAGGUCAGUUUCUAUCUAUGAAACAUUUUAUCCUAGUACGAAAGGGCCGGAUAAAAAAGGCCAAUAGUUAGACUAAGCCUUACUCUAAACUGAUGAAAACAAAUAAAGCAACAAAAGAGUGUGCUUAACAAGAAAAGAAAAUUCUUC